This 68-nucleotide transfer RNA is filed under the name Plecturocebus cupreus (coppery titi). RNAcentral's name for it is "tRNA-Gly". It matches the Rfam family "tRNA". From Rfam's summary of the family: Transfer RNA (tRNA) molecules are approximately 80 nucleotides in length. The record is from RNAcentral. Lineage: Eukaryota; Metazoa; Chordata; Mammalia; Primates; Pitheciidae.
ACUCUCUUAGUAUAAGUAGUACAACCGACUUCCAAUUAGUAGGCCUCAGUUAAACCUGAGAGAGAGUA